RNAcentral lists this ribosomal RNA (360 nucleotides) under uncultured bacterium. RNAcentral describes it as "bacterial SSU rRNA". It matches the Rfam family "Bacterial small subunit ribosomal RNA", at positions 29 to 389 of the family's 1533-position model. The record is from RNAcentral.
AACGAACGCUGGCGGCGUGCCUAACACAUGCAAGUCGAACGAGAAGCUGUAGCAAUACAGUUGUAAAGUGGCAAACGGGUGAGUAACACGUGGGUGACCUGCCCUCAGCUCUGGGAUAAGCCUGGGAAACCGGGUCUAAUACUGGAUAUGACUCCAUGACGCAUGUUGUGGGGUGGAAAGCCUUGUGCGGCUGAGGAUGGGCCCGCGGCCUAGCAGCUUGUUGGUGGGGUGAUGGCCUACCAAGGCGACGACGGGUAGCCGGCCUGAGAGGGCGACCGGCCACACUGGGACUGAGACACGGCCCAGACUCCUACGGAGGCAGCAGUGGGGAAUCUUGCGCAAUGGGCGAAAGCCUGACGC